AAGGAGUCUAACACGUAUGCGAGUGUUUGGGUGUCAAACCCAUACUCGUAAUGAAAGGUGACGGAGGUGGGAACCUUUUUGUGAGGUGUACCAUCGUCCUACUAGGAUCUACUGUGUAGGGUUUGAGUAAGAGCAUAGGUGUUGGGACCCGAAAGAUGGUGAACUAUGCCUGAAUAGGGUGAAGCCAGAGGAAACUCUGGUGGAGGCUCGCAGCGGUUCUGACGUGCAAAUCGAUCGUCAAAUUUGGGCAUAGGGGCGAAAGACUAAUCGAACCAUCUAGUAGCUGGUUCCCGC
This 294-nucleotide unclassified non-coding RNA is filed under the name uncultured fungus. Its description in RNAcentral is "partial contains 5.8S rRNA, ITS2 and 28S rRNA". It matches the Rfam family "Eukaryotic large subunit ribosomal RNA", at positions 668 to 961 of the family's 3401-position model. The record is from RNAcentral. Lineage: Eukaryota; Fungi.